Small nuclear RNA from Ursus americanus (American black bear), 99 nucleotides. NCBI's taxonomy places the organism in Eukaryota, Metazoa, Chordata, Mammalia, Carnivora, Ursidae. The record is from Ensembl.
UUGUGCUUGGCAUAAAUUAAAAUUGGAACAACACAGAAAAGAUUAGCCUGGUCCCCACACAAGGAUGACACGCAAAUUCCCGAAGUGUUCCAUAUUUUU